GUCGACGCAAAAUGAUGAUGUCUCCUUUACUGAACUUAAGAUCUCCGGGUUCUUUUCCCUCAUAGUUGUACAAUGCUUUGGCACAUGGUAACUGAGGUACACCCCUAACAGGAGGGCUCCGCGCUUGCACCCUUUGCUGUUGUCCAGCCUGAGAGCUCUGCAGGUCCUUGGAUCCGCAAUUAGCGACAGUGGUGAUGGGGACCCUUAAAGUAUUUGCACCCCCCGUCCCACCAGCAGUGCCGGGCUUCCGCGGCCGCUGCUUGAUGCCAUCCAGUAGUCUAACAAGCAAAAUGUUGCUUGGAAGUUCAUCAACACCGCAGUCCACUAAAGUCCUGCACUCCG
Molecule: long non-coding RNA, 342 nt
Filed under: Gallus gallus (chicken)
Lineage: Eukaryota; Metazoa; Chordata; Aves; Galliformes; Phasianidae
Source: RNAcentral